GACGAACGCUGGCGGCGUGCUUAACACAUGCAAGCCGAACGGAAAGGCCCUGCUUUUGUGGGGUGCUCGAGUGGCGAACGGGUGAGUAACACGUGAGUAACCUGCCCUUGACUUUGGGAUAACUUCAGGAAACUGGGGCUAAUACCGGAUAGGAGCUCCUGCUGCAUGGUGGGGGUUGGAAAGUUUCGGCGGUUGGGGAUGGACUCGCGGCUUAUCAGCUUGUUGGUGGGGUAGUGGCUUACCAAGGCUUUGACGGGUAGCCGGCCUGAGAGGGUGACCGGCCACAUUGGGACUGAGAUACGGCCCAGACUCCUACGGGAGGCAGCAGUGGGGAAUAUUGCACAAUGGGCGUAAGCCUGAUGCAGCAACGCCGCGUGCGGGAUGACGGCCUUCGGGUUGUAAACCGCUUUCGCCUGUGACGAAGCGUGAGUGACGGUAAUGGGUAAAGAAGCACCGGCUAACUACGUG
Molecule: ribosomal RNA, 468 nt
Filed under: uncultured bacterium
Lineage: Bacteria
Description: partial 16S ribosomal RNA
Rfam family: Bacterial small subunit ribosomal RNA
Source: RNAcentral